GAUGAACGCUGGCGGCGUGCCUAAUACAUGCAAGUCGAGCGAACAGACGAGGAGCUUGCUCCUCUGACGAGAGCGGAAGACGGGAGUGUAACACGAGUAUACCCUCCCUGUAAUACGGGUAUAACUUCGGGAAACCGGAUAUAAUCGGGGAUAAUAUAUUGCACCACAGGGGUCAAUAGUGAGAGACGGUGUUUGUGGAUCUUAUAGCUGGAUCCGGGCGGUAUUAGGUGGUUGGUACGGUAAAGGCUUACUAAGGGAACUAGGCGUAGCCGACCGGUGAGGGUGGUAGGCCGCACUGGAACUGAGCCACGGUCCAGAGUCCUACGGGAGGCAGCAGUAGGGAAUCGUCCGCAACGGGCGAGAGCCUGACGGAGCAAGGCCGCGUGAGUGAUGAAGGUCUUCGGAUCGUAAAGCUCUGUUAUGAGUGAAGAACAGAUGUGUAAGUAACUAUGGACGUCUUGACGGUACCUAAUCAGAAAGCAACGGCUAACUACGUG
Molecule: ribosomal RNA, 497 nt
Filed under: uncultured bacterium
Lineage: Bacteria
Description: partial 16S ribosomal RNA
Rfam family: Bacterial small subunit ribosomal RNA
Source: RNAcentral